Molecule: RNase P RNA, 306 nt
Filed under: Sharpea azabuensis
Lineage: Bacteria; Bacillati; Bacillota; Erysipelotrichia; Erysipelotrichales; Coprobacillaceae
Also listed under: 1 other name
Description: Bacterial RNase P class B
Rfam family: Bacterial RNase P class B
About the family: Ribonuclease P (RNase P) is a ubiquitous endoribonuclease, found in archaea, bacteria and eukarya as well as chloroplasts and mitochondria. Its best characterised activity is the generation of mature 5'-ends of tRNAs by cleaving the 5'-leader elements of precursor-tRNAs.
Source: RNAcentral
AGAACUGAUCGCUAGAAGUAGAGGAAAGUCCGUGCUAUCACUAGCUGCGAUGCUAGUAGUGAGUGUGCUAGAGCUAAGAACUCUAGGGUAAAAACGACAGCUGAAGCCUAAGUCGCAAGAUAUGGUGUAAAAGUACUAAAGUGCCACAGAAACGAUGCUUGAGAGAAAUCUCAUGGUGAAAAGGGGUAAACUCCGCACGAUAGAAACCCAAAUUUGGUAGGGGAGUCAGGCUAAGGGAAUUGAACUAAGGCCUGGUAGGUAACUAAGAUAAAUGAUUGGUUGAAAAACAGAACACGGCUUACAAGA